GGCAACCCUAACCAGCCAAGUCGCGUGAAGGAUGAAGGUCUUAUGGACUUGUAAACUUCUUUUAUACAGGAAUAAAUUGGGGGACGUGUCCCCUUUUGCAUGUACUGUAUGAAUAAGGAUCGGCUAACUCCGUGCCAGCAGCCGCGGUAAUACGGAGGAUCCGAGCGUUAUCCGGAUUUAUUGGGUUUAAAGGGUGCGCAGGCGGGAUGUUAAGUCGGCGGUGAAAUUUUGCAGCUCAACUGUAAAAGUGCCUUCAUACUGGCCUCCUUGAGUGUGGAUGAAGUAAGGCGGAAUUUGUGGUGUAGCGGUGAAAUGCUUAGAUAUCACGAGGAACUCCGAUUGCGCAGGCAGCUUACUAAGCCACAACUGACGCUCAUGCACGAAGGCGUGGGGAUCAAACAGGAUUAGAUACCCUGGUAGUCCACGCAGUAAACGAUGAUUACUGGUUGUUUGCGAUACAAUGCAAGCGACUGACGAAAGCGUUAAGUAAUCCACCUGGGGAGUACGUUCGCAGAAUGAAACUCAAAGGAAUUGACGGGGGCCCGCACAAGCGGAGAACAUGUGGUUUAAUUCGAUGAUACGCGAGGAACCUUAC
RNAcentral lists this ribosomal RNA (595 nucleotides) under uncultured bacterium. Its description in RNAcentral is "bacterial SSU rRNA". It matches the Rfam family "Bacterial small subunit ribosomal RNA", at positions 376 to 974 of the family's 1533-position model. The record is from RNAcentral.